RNAcentral lists this long non-coding RNA (1780 nucleotides) under Gossypium raimondii (Peruvian cotton). RNAcentral's name for it is "long non-coding RNA (GRAI_LNC004835)". The record is from RNAcentral. Lineage: Eukaryota; Viridiplantae; Streptophyta; Magnoliopsida; Malvales; Malvaceae.
UCACCCAAAAACACAUUAAGAAUAAGGUUAAAACAAAUGACAUGACAUACUUAAUAAUGCAUAGUACUAUUCAGAGUAAUCCUAUCCUCAACCGCUGUACACCAACUUCGUCUAUCCAACACACCAAACAGGGUUGCUAUGUACCCAUCCAACUAGAACACCAAAAUUUGUAGUCGUAAGCCAUCAAAAUAUGCAGAUAAGCUGCCAGAUAUAUAUCGUGAAAAUACUACCAGAAACAGAUAUCACAGGUUACCUGCCAAAUCAGAGUUGCGGGAAAACAGCCAGAAUCGUAGAUCAUAGUCUGCCAAAACUUCCUCCAAGUCAAACAUAUCCCAAAUCCCAAUGCACAUGCAGAUGUCCUGACAUACUAAGCAUACUCAAAUCAUACAUGUCCAUAUGCAUAUUAAACAGAUCGGUAACAUGCUAAUGGUACAUAUAGUUUAACAAAUCAGAAACAAGUUAUUGGCAAGUUCGGCCCUCGCAAAUAAAACAAGCAAGUAUCACUUUCAACAACACGUUGAAACAUACAUGCAAUCAGCUAACUCAAAUCAAGCAUACUCACCUUCAAUCACGACACCCAACUUACCUACUCGGAUUCAGCCAUAACCGAAACACACCCAUAGCCAAUCGACUAACACCAAAUUUAACAAUUAAGGGAAUACUUACUUUCAGCCAGCACCAGAAAAAAAAAACUCAGUCACAACCGAACGAGUUUAAUUAAAACACCGCAACAUUUGAUUAACUUCUACUCUCACAAAUCAAGUAGGGUUAAAACAUACACCUAAUUGUUUUUGAGGUGUCGGCACUACAACAACAAUCCGCGCUCUGCCCAUGACAUCAAACCUUAACCAAUUGGCAUCCAUAAUAGAAAAUCAGCCUAAGGCAUUCAGCCCUUGCUCCCUGAGAGCAUUCGACCAAAGCAAAAAUUAACACCUGCCAGCCCCUUGACUAGGCUUUCAACUACUUACCCUAAGGAGUAGAGGUUUCCAAGGCACUUAAUUCGCAGGAGGGGUAUGCGCCUCACGAUCCUCACCUUAAUAGAACCAAAAACGAUUAGACCAUCACUAUUCAGCCAACAACAACCAACAAACCCCUCAAAUAAAACCGGAAACAAGCUUUUUUUAAAACAAAUGGAUUACACUUACGCAAAAUUAUGAUAUUAUACUGAAACUCCAAAUCACACACAACCAGUAACGAGACCAGAGGGUUAGCUACGGCACUAGGAAGGAUCAAAGUCUGGACGGCGGCAACACAGUAGGUAGGGAUUGCAAAAGAUGAAAUCAAGAGGGUGUUAACGUGAAAUUAUGGAAACAAAUGAGUAAAAAGAAAGAAGAUAAAGAAAGGAGGGAAAAAUAGAGAGAAUUCAACAAAAGAGGAGGUUACAGCAACAAAAGUGGAAAACAAAGAAAAGUGGGGAAAUGGGGGAGAGGGGGGCGACACUAGGAGGAUUUUUAGGAGAUAAGUCCUCAAAAUUUUAAAAAAUAAACUAAUUAAAUCCUACCUAAUCUGAUUCCGUUUUUAUCUCAAUCAGGUUGCCUAGAGUUUGAGUUUGACCAACAUGGGUGGCACAGCAGGGAAGAAAUAAUAAUAAUAAACAAUCAUUUCACUUAAGCACAAACGAGAUUUGAAUUUGAGUUGCAGAAGGAAAAGGAGAAUGCUUAACCAUGGGGCUGUUGCCCACACUUGUUAAUAAACUUAUGAAAACUAGAGAUAAUCUAAGCGUCACAAGCUAGAUAUUGGGAGAAAAAUAAUAAAAAAAAUUACGGGAAAGAAGUCGAAC